This 253-nucleotide ribosomal RNA is filed under the name uncultured bacterium. RNAcentral describes it as "partial 16S ribosomal RNA". It matches the Rfam family "Bacterial small subunit ribosomal RNA", at positions 524 to 776 of the family's 1533-position model. The record is from RNAcentral.
UACGUAGGGUGCGAGCGUUGUCCGGAAUUAUUGGGCGUAAAGAGCUUGUAGGCGGUUUGUCGCGUCUGCUGUGAAAAUCCGGGGCUCAACCCCGGACUUGCAGUGGGUACGGGCGGACUAGAGUGUGGUAGGGGAGACUGGAAUUCCUGGUGUAGCGGUGAAAUGCGCAGAUAUCAGGAGGAACACCGAUGGCGAAGGCAGGUCUCUGGGCCACUACUGACGCUGAGAAGCGAAAGCAUGGGGAGCGAACAGG